GCAAGGGUGCAUGGCAGACGGGUGAGUAACGCGCGGGGAAUCUACCUCUUUGUGGGGAAUAACGCUCCGAAAGGAGUGGUAAUACCGCAUGAGAUCCAUGGCUGGAAUGUUGUGGAUGAAACCUGGGGACCUUCGGGCCUGGGGCAAGGAGAGGAUCCUGCGUCUGAUUAGCUAGUUGGUGAGGUAAUGGCCCACCAAGGCGACGAUCAGUAGCCGGCCUGAGAGGGUGAUCGGCCACACUGGAACUGAGACACGGUCCAGACUCCUACGGGAGGCAGCAGUGGGGAAUUUUGCGCAAUGGGCGAAAGCCUGACGCAGCAACGCCGCGUGGGUGAUGAAGGUCUUCGGAUCGUAAAACCCUGUCGUCGGGGACGAAGGUGGGCGGGUUAAUAGCCUGUUUGCUUGACGGUACCCGGAGAGGAAGCCCCGGCUAACUCUGUGCCAGCAGCCGCGGUAAUACAGAGGGGGCAAGCGUUAUUCGGAAUUAUUGGGCGUAAAGGGCGCGUAGGCGGCUUUUUAAGUGAGAUGUGUAAUCCCUGAGCUCAACUUGGGAACUGCAUCUCAUACUGGGAGGCUAGAGUACUGGAGAGGGUGGUAGAAUUCCACGUGUAGCGGUGAAAUGCGUAGAGAUGUGGAGGAAUACCAGUGGCGAAGGCGGCCACCUGGACAGUAACUGACGCUGAGGCGCGAAAGUGUGGGUAGCAAACAGGAUUAGAUACCCUGGUAGUCCACACUGUAAACGAUGAACACUUGGUGUGGAGGGAGUUGACCCCUUCCGUGCCGUAGCUAACGCGUUAAGUGUUC
This 804-nucleotide ribosomal RNA is filed under the name uncultured bacterium. RNAcentral's name for it is "bacterial SSU rRNA". It matches the Rfam family "Bacterial small subunit ribosomal RNA", at positions 85 to 869 of the family's 1533-position model. The record is from RNAcentral.